AGCUUCCGCUUUUCCGGCCGUGCCCACGCGGCGGCCUCCGUUUCGUUGUCGCGAGGACUCGACAGCGAGAGGCGAUUGCGGAAAUGGAAUGGGAGGUAGGCAAAAGCAAGAGCAAGACAUCCACCCAGUUGUUGCCUCUCCAUCAAGAAACCGAUGGUGGAUGGAUGGAGCUGCCCAAUGGCGAGUGCCCUACGUCAGUUGGCACAGCUGUGCGUGCUUCUGCUUCCCAACCAAUUCUAGUUAUCUGUAGUCGCGUGGCGAGGGGUUGUGCCGGCGACUAAUCCAGGAGCAAAACCGAAGGCCAAGAAGACACACAACAAACUUCCUGGCUGGCUCUGUUCAAGAGGCGCUCGGAGGUUGCUCCGGGUCAUCGCCACCAAGCUGCAGGCUAGGUGUUUGUGGAAUUGCCAGCCUCCUUCCUUUGCGACAGCAACUGCACCGGAGGAAAGGGAAGGAAAGGAAAGGCUAGGGAGAGGAGCUGAGGAAGGAAAGGAUGACCAUGCCGCGGGGGCUAUCGGCGUACAUGGUGGAUAUGGUGUGGGCACUGCUCGCCGGGUGGGUGUCGGCGUGCCUGCUGGUCGCCAACGAGAUCGCCCGCGGCAUGCGGGCCGGCGAGAUUGGCCCCUUCGUCGUGGGGUGAAAAUCUCAUUUCCAGGAAAUCAUCCCUUCUGACUCCUUCCGUCACGCAGAUAGUUUUUUGGCGAAUCCAUCCAUGGAUACACAUUGCAUUGUACUGUACAGAGUCCCUAAAUCUACAUUAUUGUCCAGCUGAAUGGCUUGGCCAUUAAUAGAAGUGACAGAGAUUCUAGAUGAUGUUUUGUUCUUCCUUUCUUUCCACAAUUCUUCUGUUCUGUAUAGUAAUGUAAAUAUUUUAUUUUCCUUUUACAUUAUAGUUCUUUAAAGAUAUGUGCAACUUCA
Molecule: long non-coding RNA, 918 nt
Organism: Hordeum vulgare subsp. vulgare (domesticated barley)
Lineage: Eukaryota; Viridiplantae; Streptophyta; Magnoliopsida; Poales; Poaceae
Exons: 3
Source: RefSeq, a predicted model, not a curated record